AGUGAACGCUGGCGGUAGGCCUAACACAUGCAGGUCGAACGGCAGCACAGUAAGAGCUUGCUCUUACGGGUGGCGAGUGGCGGACGGGUGAGGAAUACAUCGGAAUCUACUUUUUCGUGGGGGAUAACGUAGGGAAACUUACGCUAAUACCGCAUACGACCUACGGGUGAAAGCAGGGGAUCUUCGGACCUUGCGCGAUUGAAUGAGCCGAUGUCGGAUUAGCUAGUUGGCGGGGUAAAGGCCCACCAAGGCGACGAUCCGUAGCUGGUCUGAGAGGAUGAUCAGCCACACUGGAACUGAGACACGGUCCAGACCCCUACGGGAGGCAGCAGUGGGGAAUAUUGGACAAUGGGCGCAAGCCUGAUCCAGCCAUACCGCGUGGGUGAAGAAGGCCUUCGGGUUGUAAAGCCCUUUUGUUGGGAAAGAAAAGCAGCAGGUUAAUACCCCGCUGUUCUGACGGUACCCAAAGAAUAAGCACCGGCUAACUUCGUG
Molecule: ribosomal RNA, 492 nt
Filed under: uncultured bacterium
Lineage: Bacteria
Description: partial 16S ribosomal RNA
Rfam family: Bacterial small subunit ribosomal RNA
Source: RNAcentral